GGAAACCUGGGCAUACAAUGUCAGAUCUCAUUUCUCUGAUGAUAAGGAUUUAGAUAAGUAUGUGGUGCUUCAGGUCAAGUGCUUGUCAGGUUCACUGCUCCCUUCUGGGAAGUCUCAGAAUGCCUGCCAGGCUCACACUCACCUAAAGCAUAGGUCAUUGUACUCUGUGCUGUGUGAGGUGACUACUAGAUUAAUUCCUUCUGAUUAGCUUGUGCACAGGUCCCAAGGAAACAUACCAUGAACAAGCUAGAGCCACAAUGAAGAAGAAAGGGGAGAUCAGUGAGCACUAGCAGGAUAAAUACGAUAGAAUCAAGCCCAUUCCCAAUUUCCCCCUCCCUGGACUCGUACUUUUAAUACACACAUUCAUCUAUAAUUCUUUUAUUCAGUAUAGGACAGAAAGAGCUAGAGAGAGAGAGCACCCUUUGUCUUACUCAUGUGCCUUCUAAAUAUAAGCAUUGUCACUCAUUUUAUUUUUUUCCCAAGUGCUUCUUAUUCUUUAGAGCCAGCUCAGUUUAAUUUAUCAAUGAAACAUACAACAAUGACUGUAUUUUAGAUGUAUGAAAGUCAUCUGGAACUUAACAUAUCACAAACAUCUCCUGAUUUCCUCCCUGCCAAUAAAGUCUUCUUCCCAUAGUCCACUUAUCUAGUUUGAUGACAAAUCAGCUCUUCUAUUUUUCUGGGUCCAAACUUGGAUGAUCAGCCUUAAUGGCUAUUUUUUUUUUCUCUCUUACGUUCCAUAUUCAAUCAACUCUUCUAAAUAUAUCCAGGAUAUAAAUUCUUCUCAUCCCCUCCACUGCCAGCAAUCUGGUGAGGGCCUCUUACUUGGUUUUACUGAAAUAGCUUCCUACUGAUACCCCUCUUUGUCUUUGCCCCAUUCAGCAGUCAGCAUGGUCAAGUUAAAUGGUGAGUCAGGGCCUGUCAGCUUCUGUUACUCGGCUCAGCACCAUAUGAUGCUUUCAUAAUCAGGGUAAAAUUUGAAGUGCUUACAAUGGCUUAUAACACCUUACACAGUUUGUUCACUGUUCCCCACCUCUUUACCUCCGUUAAUACUUUUAAAUGGGUAACACUGGUUUGAUUACUAUUCUGUGAAUGUGCCUGCCAUAUUGUCUCUAUCUGGGGCUCUUCUUUGGGAAGAAGAGGAGUUUGGGUCCUUUCCCAAGCCCCUCCCUAAUGAGAACUUUCCCAUCUGAAAAUGCAGCAUACUCACAUGUCCAUAUCCCUAUGCUCCUUCUCCCUCUUACUUGCAUUAUUUUUCUCCUUAGCAUUUUCCCAUCUACUGUAUAUUGUACUUGAUCUGUUGAAAUAUGUAGAAUCAUAGGUGACUUAAAUUUUUUCUAACUUCUGCAUUUGUCAAUUUUAAACAAUAAAAAUAUUUAGAGGAAGGAGGAAUCACUAUGGGCUGAGAGGGGCAGGAAAGUCAUUGUGGAGGAGAAAAAAAUGUUGCUGCAUCUUGCAAGCUUGGCAGUCUGUCUGAAGAUAGGGAGAGAGCAUCCUAGGUCAUAAUAAAACAUGUACAAAAUAUGGAGGGUACUUCGUGUAUAACUUAUUUUAGAAUCAGUGAAGAGAGUAGCCAGGCAAAUCUCAUUCAUCACCAAAAUGUAGAAUGCACACUUAGAAACAGAUUGUACAAAACCUGAGUCAUUUUAGUCAUGUGUGUUUUUGAAUUGAAGAAUGCUAUGAAGAGAGCAGAGGCAGAAUUACUCUCCUAAAUUCUUCUAAAAUUUUGUUGGUCUUUUCCUUUCUGAUAUUCCCACAUAAUCCUUAGUGUUCGUAGAAACAAUUUGUGUACAUAUUCCAGUAGUUUAAUGUUCCUAAAUAACUCAUUUUAUGCUUUAGUAGAAAAAAUUCUGUUUCAAUUGAGUGGCAUAAUUAUCCGUUUCUAUCAAGAUCUAAUUUUCAAGUCAUUUCCAGUGAAAAUUUUUCUUUAAGUAUUUUUAGAUGGAAAAGGAGAAAAGUAAUUAAAAAUGAUCAACCUAGAAAUAAAGCUUUGCAGACAUAGAAAUACAAAGAAUAUUAAUAUUUUUGCUUUGUUUUAUUUGGCUGAAGAAUUGUCAAAAGAUUUCUAUUAUAAAUGAUUGUUUUAUGCUGAUUUUUAAAUCUCAUUUAUAUCACUUGUGUGAUUGGGUAGAAGAUGCCAUGUUUCAAAAUAUUUCUCAUGUUCCAUAAAUGUGUUUUUCCCAUAUGUGGUACAAGGCUAUGGUUUCAGUGCUUGGCUGUGUCAGUUGAGGCUAGGUCAGUGCUUGGUAGUGAAAUGAAGAGAUGAGACAGAAGUGCCACCAGGCUACUCAGAUGUGCCCUGCCUACUUUGAACUGGGACCUUCUCGGUAAAGGGGUACCAGGCAUGUUAUACAGCUUGUUUAACAGUGGUUAAUUUUUAUUAAGGGACAAAUGAUAUAGUUGGAGAAAAGACCAUCUCAAACACUCUCUAUGGCAGAAUGUAGAAACAUUUUUAAAGUUAUAUUCAAAGAUUUGGGGGCAGGGCAGAGAGUCAUUAUUAUGGGCUAAAAAAAUAGAUAGGAUACUAGUACAAAUCCUAACAAAAAAGAAUAUCACUGAGUGAGGCAGAAUUUUGGGGUCUUUUUUCUCUCAUUGAAAGCUCAUCCUAUCCAUAAUGUUUCUAAUGAUUUUCUGCCAGUGCCUUCAUUCAGAAAGCUCAGUCAUUUCUAAUGUAAGAUGAAUACUCCUGCCCUUUGUAUUUAUGAAAUGGAAUAACAAAUGAAUGUGAGUUUAGUGGAUUCAUUAGGAUUUCUGGGAAAUACUUCCUUUUUAACACAACAGAGGAUGCAAACAUCCAAAACUUUAAUGUAAGGUGAUGGAGUCUCAUAUUAAAAUUAAAACACUCAAUGGAAAUACACACUUACAAAUAGGAAAAGGAAAAGAAAAGCAACUUAUCAGAAUGAUUGUUUAACUCUCAAUCAUACAGAACUAUGACAGAACUUUGUGUACGGUGAGUAGUUGGUAGCGAAGAGUCAGGGUGAAGCUUACGUUAGAGUCGGGGUCUAGUGGAUGAGAGAAUUGAUGAGGUUCAGUCAUAUACUUAAAUUAUUUUCUGAAUUAUCCUACAGUUUCAGGAGACCCUAGCACUGAAAAUGAAAAGGCAUCUGUAAAAUUUAUGACUCUAGAUUUACAGUAUAAAUGGUAGAAUUUUUAUCACCAGAAUCCUGGCCCUUCCCCCUUUUCUCUCUAGCUGCUUAUUCUUUACCCAACCUUCUCUUUGAAUUUCAUUUCUAUCCAUUCAGAUUUGAUCUUCUAUCUCCUCGUUACCCUAUUUUGUACAUCUUUAACUCUCUUGAACCUAUUCCUCACUUUAAUUCAGCAACUUUACUUCAUCUUCUAAUUUAGACUGAGAAGCUAGAUUCUGAUGUGCAGUGUUUCUGCAUCUGCCAAAUUUUACCUCUUGAGUUAGUUUUCUGAUAAGAGGUGGUAAGCUGUCCUUGGAUUGCACCCUAGCUCAGCAUCAUCCUGGCACAGCAUAUCAUUAGCACUUGCCAGUGUCCCCUUCCUGACAGAAACUUCAAUAUUCAACAUAGAGGACACCCAGUAGAUAACAGCAAUCACCAACAGUCCACAUACGGUACACAUAUGCCACAUACGGUUUAAUCUCUCCAAGAACAGUUGUAAGUAUGCAGUUUUAAAUGUGUUGGGAUAGUAUUUUGAUGUACAAAUUACAUUUCCUAGUAUUUCCUGUUACCUUAUGAAAAUUUCUAUUUGGGGGCAGCUAGGCUUGUGACAAAGGUAGUACUGCAGAAUAAAAAAAGUGUCAAUUUUUGGCUUUUGAGUUUUGAAAUAGAUAUUUUGUGGUUCAUGGUAGAGAUGAAUAUUUGAAUUUCAACAGUCUUGGACACAGAAGCUACACUAUUCUGAAGACCAGAUAAAGAGCCAGGCUACCAAGCCCACAAAUUCAACAAAGACUCCAUGGACUGGGGAAGGGAGAAGAGAGUAAAAGGAAAUGUUUGUUAUGAGAGUAUCUCUGAGCUCCUGUCUUUCCCAUCCUUCUCACCACUGUCUUCUCGGAGCAUACUAAAGCCCUGGAGAACUUUAGAGAUUUGAGAUCAGAAGGAAUUUGUGGCUUUACCCAUCUGGAUGGAGCCCACUAGCCAAACAGAAGCCAUAGUCCCCAAUAGUCAUAGUAGGAUUACUAUACCAUUUAAUCAUCAAACCCAAGAUAUUUUUGAGGGCAAUAAAGGUAUGGAAAUGUAAAUUUGGAAGAAUUCCUGGGAAACAGAUAUCAGCCAGGACUAUCUAAGGGAAACCAGGAUUUAUGAUAACUUAUGAUAAUAAUAUGAGAAAAUACAAGAAUUGUGUUUAAUGUAGACAGAAAGUAGAAUAGUGGUUAUUAGGGAUUCUGAAGAGGAUGUAAAUGGGGAGUUAUUGUUUAAUGGACAUAAGAGUUUCAGUUUGGAAUGAUGAACAAGUUAUGGAGAUGGAUGAUAGUAAUGGUUGCAUGAUGUGAAUAUUAUUGGUCUUAAUGCCACUGGAUUAUACACUUAAAAUGGUUAAAAUGGCAGGUUUUGUGUUAAUGUAUAUUUGACAACAAAAGAUUAUUAAAAAAACUGUUUAUUAGAAAGUUGUUAAGUUGAUGAGUCUGAAGAGGCCACAUAGUUUUUUAGCACAGCUCAGAGGGUGAAAAAUAUUCUCACAUAUGUGUUCUUGAGGAUUUAGAUCUCAAAUUAGAAAAAUAUAUAUUAACCCUGUGUAUACUGCUGUCAGUGAUAUACAUUUUUUAAAUAAUACAUAUGCUAAUUUUAGGUACCAUUUUGCAUAUAAACCUGAGUGUUCUCUUGAGCAUACAUGCUAGACUUAUAUAUGUGUCCUGUUAUCUUUCUUUAUUUUGGGAUAGUAGCAACUUUAUUGAAAAGCAUUAUUUUAUGUAGAGAAGGAUACUAACCCUUCAACUUGACUGCAUUAGUCAACAGGACAAAAGUGUCACCUGCAGGUUUCUAACUAGUAUGAAUUCUGCAUUUCUCUCCCCAUUAAUCAUACUCUUUCUUUGAGAUGAUAAUGUUCUCACCCAUCAGAAAAAGUAAAGGUUUAUAGCUUAAAAAAGUAUAUUAUUCUUCAGUCCAAGACAUUGCCAUAGGAAGACCCUGAAAUAGAACAAAUAGAAUGGACUGGUGGUUACUUAAUUUUUUUAAAAAAAGAAUGCGUUCAGUUUAAUCUAAGUGGACUGGCAAACAAAUGCUUUGCAUCCAAACUAACUGUCCUUGGGGUGGUUUUUAGAGGUAUUGUGAAUAUAUUAGAGAUUUCAAAUUAAUUUCAUAUUCUCAAGUUGUUGUGUGAAAAGGAAAAUAAUUUCUAAUCCCUUUUUGGCAGAUCCUGAUGAAAUGUUUGGCAAAAAGCUGUAUAUUUCAUGAAGAUGGAAAUAGUUUACAUCAAAUUAGAGAAAUAGCAUAGGUACUGUUAUCAAUACAUGAUUAAAUUUCAGUAUAUACAAAACGGCAACAUUUCUGACAUCCUUACUUUUUAGACAGUGCAUCUCUGGAAUUCUUAGUUUAUAUUCUAGUCCUUAUAUUAUUUAUUUAUUUACAAAGCAAUUUCUGUCUAGUAGAGACAGAUUUUCAUUCAUUGUUUGGGUUGUUUGCAAACAGUAUGCAAACCAUUAAAUUUAGUGACAUAAACAUUUCCCUUUCAGAUAUUCUUUCUUUCCUUUACAGAAGUGUUUGCUUGGCUUUUUUCUUUUAUAAUUUUUCAUUUUAAAAUGUUUUCUUUUAAAAUUUCUUUUUAAAAAUUUUAACAUGUUAAAAUAUUGACAACAUGUCAAAUUUAGAAAAUACCUUCGAAGUAAGCUGGUUCUAGUCGCCUCAUAUUUAAACUAACCUCCUUAAAUCAAUUUCCAGACUAGGAGAAAGGAUUUGAAUUAUUUUUUCUUAAAUUUGAUUAGAGUAUGGUUGAUUUACAGUGUUGUAUUACUUUCAGGUAUACAGCAAAAUGAAUCAGUUAUAUUUUUAUAUAUCCAUUCUUUUUCAGAUUAUUUUCCCAUAUAGGUUAGUACAGGAUUUUGAUUUCCCUUUGCUAUAUCGUAGGUCCUUCUUAGUUAUCUGUUUUAUAUAUUGUGGUGUGUAUGUAUAAUCCCAAACCCUUCAUUUGUCCCUGCCCACCCCUACCCCCAGUUUUCCCCUUUGGUAAUUAUAAGUUUUGAUUUUGAGAAGUUCCCAUUGUGGCACAGCGGAAACGAAUCCUACUAGUAUCCAUGAGGAUGUGGGUUCAGUCCUUGGCUUCCUCAGUAGGUAAAGGAUUUGGCAUUGCUGUGAGCUGUGGUGUACUUUGUACACACAGCUUGGAUCCUGCGCUGCUGUGGCUGUGGUGUAGACCCC
Molecule: long non-coding RNA, 6314 nt
Filed under: Sus scrofa (pig)
Lineage: Eukaryota; Metazoa; Chordata; Mammalia; Artiodactyla; Suidae
Description: lncRNA (ENSSSCG00000062251.1)
Source: RNAcentral